CCAGACUCCUACGGGAGGCAGCAGUGAGGAAUAUUGGUCAAUGGGAGAGAUCCUGAACCAGCCAAGCCGCGUGAGGGAAGACGGCCCUACGGGUUGUAAACCUCUUUUGUCGGAGAACAAAACCCGGGACGAGUCCCGGACUGCGUGUAUCCGAAGAAAAAGCAUCGGCUAACUCCGUGCCAGCAGCCGCGGUAAUACGGAGGAUGCGAGCGUUAUCCGGAUUUAUUGGGUUUAAAGGGUGCGCAGGCGGAAUGUCAAGUCAGCGGUAAAAUUUCGGGGCUCAACCCCGUCGUGCCGUUGAAACUGGCGUUCUUGAGUGAGCGAGAAGUAUGCGGAAUGCGUGGUGUAACGGUGAAAUGCAUAGAUAUCACGCAGAACUCCGAUUGCGAAGGCAGCAUACCGGCGCUCAACUGACGCUCAUGCACGAAAGCGUGGGUAUCGAACAGGAUUAGAUACCCCAGUA
Molecule: ribosomal RNA, 463 nt
Filed under: uncultured bacterium
Lineage: Bacteria
Description: bacterial SSU rRNA
Rfam family: Bacterial small subunit ribosomal RNA
Source: RNAcentral